Arvicanthis niloticus (Nile rat) is the source of this 102-nucleotide non-coding RNA. The record is from RefSeq and is a predicted model, not a curated record. NCBI's taxonomy places the organism in Eukaryota, Metazoa, Chordata, Mammalia, Rodentia, Muridae.
GUGCUCACUUUUGCAGCACAUUUUAAAAAUUGGAAUGAUAAAAAGGAGAUUAUGGCCCACAUCAUGGAUGACAUACAAAUUCAUGAACUAUUCUACAUUUUC